This 1440-nucleotide ribosomal RNA is filed under the name Salmonella enterica. RNAcentral describes it as "partial 23S ribosomal RNA". It matches the Rfam family "Bacterial large subunit ribosomal RNA", at positions 1 to 1483 of the family's 2925-position model. The record is from RNAcentral. RNAcentral also lists the same sequence under 1 other name. Lineage: Bacteria; Pseudomonadati; Pseudomonadota; Gammaproteobacteria; Enterobacterales; Enterobacteriaceae.
GGUUAAGCGACUAAGCGUACACGGUGGAUGCCCUGGCAGUCAGAGGCGAUGAAGGGCGUGCUAAUCUGCGAUAAGCGCCGGUAAGGUGAUAUGAACCGUUAUAACCGGCGAUACCCGAAUGGGGAAACCCAGUGUGAUUCGUCACACUAUCAUUAACUGAAUCCAUAGGUUAAUGAGGCGAACCGGGGGAACUGAAACAUCUAAGUACCCCGAGGAAAAGAAAUCAACCGAGAUUCCCCCAGUAGCGGCGAGCGAACGGGGAGGAGCCCAGAGCCUGAAUCAGCAUGUGUGUUAGUGGAAGCGUCUGGAAAGGCGCGCGAUACAGGGUGACAGCCCCGUACACAAAAGCGCAUGUGCUGUGAGCUCGAUGAGUAGGGCGGGACACGUGGUAUCCUGUCUGAAUAUGGGGGGACCAUCCUCCAAGGCUAAAUACUCCUGACUGACCGAUAGUGAACCAGUACCGUGAGGGAAAGGCGAAAAGAACCCCGGCGAGGGGAGUGAAAAAGAACCUGAAACCGUGUACGUACAAGCAGUGGGAGCACAGGUUUACCUGUGUGACUGCGUACCUUUUGUAUAAUGGGUCAGCGACUUAUAUUCUGUAGCAAGGUUAACCGAAUAGGGGAGCCGGAGGGAAACCGAGUCUUAAUUGGGCGUUAAGUUGCAGGGUAUAGACCCGAAACCCGGUGAUCUAGCCAUGGGCAGGUUGAAGGUUGGGUAACACUAACUGGAGGACCGAACCGACUAAUGUUGAAAAAUUAGCGGAUGACCUGUGGCUGGGGGUGAAAGGCCAAUCAAACCGGGAGAUAGCUGGUUCUCCCCGAAAGCUAUUUAGGUAGCGCCUCGUGAAUUCAUCUCCGGGGGUAGAGCACUGUUUCGGCUAGGGGGCCAUCCCGGCUUACCAACCCGAUGCAAACUGCGAAUACCGGAGAAUGUUAUCACGGGAGACACACGGCGGGUGCUAACGUCCGUCGUGAAGAGGGAAACAACCCAGACCGCCAGCUAAGGUCCCAAAGUCAUGGUUAAGUGGGAAACGAUGUGGGAAGGCCCAGACAGCCAGGAUGUUGGCUUAGAAGCAGCCAUCAUUUAAAGAAAGCGUAAUAGCUCACUGGUCGAGUCGGCCUGCGCGGAAGAUGUAACGGGGCUAAACCAUGCACCGAAGCUGCGGCAGCGACGCUUAUGCGUUGUUGGGUAGGGGAGCGUUCUGUAAGCCUGUGAAGGUGGCCUGUGAGGGUUGCUGGAGGUAUCAGAAGUGCGAAUGCUGACAUAAGUAACGAUAAAGCGGGUGAAAAGCCCGCUCGCCGGAAGACCAAGGGUUCCUGUCCAACGUUAAUCGGGGCAGGGUGAGUCGACCCCUAAGGCGAGGCCGAAAGGCGUAGUCGAUGGGAAACGGGUUAAUAUUCCCGUACUUGGUGUUACUGCGAAGGGGGGACGGAGAAGGCU